RNAcentral lists this ribosomal RNA (207 nucleotides) under uncultured bacterium. RNAcentral's name for it is "partial 16S ribosomal RNA". It matches the Rfam family "Bacterial small subunit ribosomal RNA", at positions 568 to 774 of the family's 1533-position model. The record is from RNAcentral.
UGCGUAGGCGGGUUUCUAAGUCAGAGGUGAAAGCCUGGAGCUCAACUCCAGAACUGCCUUUGAUACUGGAAGUCUUGAGUAUGGCAGAGGUGAGUGGAACUGCGAGUGUAGAGGUGAAAUUCGUAGAUAUUCGCAAGAACACCAGUGGCGAAGGCGGCUCACUGGGCCAUUACUGACGCUGAGGCACGAAAGCCAGGGGAGCAAACG